Molecule: long non-coding RNA, 523 nt
Filed under: Carica papaya (papaya)
Lineage: Eukaryota; Viridiplantae; Streptophyta; Magnoliopsida; Brassicales; Caricaceae
Description: long non-coding RNA (CPAP_LNC016686)
Source: RNAcentral
AGUUGUUCACGAGUCUUAGUUUUUUGUUCACUUGCUUAAGCAAAAUAGUUUUUGUCCAUGUGUUUUUUAAAAAGGAAAAAGUAAAUGUUGCAUUGGAUGUUAUUGUACUGACGUUCAUUAUUUGUUGACUUAUUUAGUACUAGAAAGAAAUACGACUAAAUUUAUAGUUCAGUCAAAUAAUAAAGUAUGGUUUAACUUCAAUAGAUAAUUUAAUCUCAUACAAAUGAGUGAAUCAAGUAACGUAUAUUUAUUGUUUAAAAUACAAUAUUUAAUGACUGAUUUGGAAAAACGAUACUUCAAUGAAUAACGAGAGAUGAUGGGUGAUGACUGCAAUGAGAUGCAACUAACAAAGAGAGAGAAGUUUUAGUGUCUUGCAACAGAGGAGAUCGAAUUUUCUUUAGAUUUUAGAACAUAAAAAUAAACUAUUUUAUUUCGGUUUCUUUUGUACUUCUUUUUGUCCAUAUAAAAGUUAAAUAAUUUUUUUUCAAAUAAAGAAAUGAACAGGUUGUGCAUGAAAUAGAUA